CCACGGCGAAUGGUUCAUCAAUCGUUCAAAAAAGAAUAUAUACGAUUGCAUUGCAUAUACUAACGGAUGCGAUCAUACCAGCACUAAUGCACCGGAUCCCAUCAGAACUCCGCAGUUAAGCGUGCUUGGGCGAGAGUAGUACUAGGAUGGGUGACCUCCCGUAAAGUCCUCGUGUUGCAUCCCUCUUUUAUGUUUAACCUUUUUUUUUUUGG
This 212-nucleotide ribosomal RNA is filed under the name Arabidopsis thaliana (thale cress). The record is from RNAcentral. Lineage: Eukaryota; Viridiplantae; Streptophyta; Magnoliopsida; Brassicales; Brassicaceae.